Long non-coding RNA from Choloepus didactylus (southern two-toed sloth), 180 nucleotides. RefSeq lists it as uncharacterized. The record is from RefSeq and is a predicted model, not a curated record. The transcript has 3 exons. Lineage: Eukaryota; Metazoa; Chordata; Mammalia; Pilosa; Megalonychidae.
GUUCUAUUCUUGGGAAAUGUUUCCCAUCUGCGAAAAUACUUGAUUGAGGCUUUGGCUGAAAGGGGCCUCUGUUUUCAUUCUCCUAGGAGGCUGGCUCAACGUUGGGCAGCGGAUGCCCUCCUCGGCUUUGGCAGAUGUCCAAACCCUCAUUGUUUUCCCUGCAUGAGGAAGCUGAGCAGC